This 469-nucleotide ribosomal RNA is filed under the name uncultured bacterium. Its description in RNAcentral is "partial 16S ribosomal RNA". It matches the Rfam family "Bacterial small subunit ribosomal RNA", at positions 28 to 507 of the family's 1533-position model. The record is from RNAcentral.
GACGAACGCUGGCGGCGUGCUUAACACAUGCAAGUCGAACGGAAAGGCCCUGCUUGCAGGGUGCUCAAGUGGCGAACGGGUGAGUAACACGUGGGUGAUCUGCCCCUUACUUUGGGAUAAGCCUGGGAAACUGGGUCUAAUACUGGAUAGGACCAUGCUGUAGGUGGUGUGGUGGAAAGAUUAGUUUCGGUAAGGGAUGAGCUCGCGGCCUAUCAGCUUGUUGGUGGGGUAAUGGCCUACCAAGGCGUCGACGGGUAGCCGGCCUGAGAGGGUGGACGGCCACAUUGGGACUGAGAUACGGCCCAGACUCCUACGGGAGGCAGCAGUGGGGAAUAUUGCACAAUGGGCGCAAGCCUGAUGCAGCGACGCCGCGUGGGGGAUGACGGCCUUCGGGUUGUAAACUCCUUUCAGCCAUGACGAAGCCCUUGUGGUGACGGUAGUGGUAGAAGAAGCACCGGCUAACUACGUG